RNAcentral lists this transfer RNA (56 nucleotides) under Aedes aegypti (yellow fever mosquito). It matches the Rfam family "tRNA", at positions 9 to 63 of the family's 71-position model. From Rfam's summary of the family: Transfer RNA (tRNA) molecules are approximately 80 nucleotides in length. Their secondary structure includes four short double-helical elements and three loops (D, anti-codon, and T loops). The record is from Rfam by way of RNAcentral. Lineage: Eukaryota; Metazoa; Arthropoda; Insecta; Diptera; Culicidae.
AGCUUUGUUGGUAAAGCGCUUGUCUAGCAUACAAGAACAGUGAGUUCAAAUCCCAC